Long non-coding RNA from Bubalus bubalis (water buffalo), 1620 nucleotides. RefSeq lists it as uncharacterized. The transcript has 3 exons. The record is from RefSeq and is a predicted model, not a curated record. NCBI's taxonomy places the organism in Eukaryota, Metazoa, Chordata, Mammalia, Artiodactyla, Bovidae.
CAGGAUGGAUACUAUAUGAUUCCAUUAUAUGCAGUAUCUAGGCAAAUUCACAGACAUAGAAAGUAGAAUAGAGGUUCUGGGGGGAGGGGAGGUGGAGAGGAUACAGAUACAGAAGCACACGUGCUCUGUCGGGUCUGACUCUGAGACCCCAGGGACUGUAGCCCGCCAGGCUCCUCUGUGCGUGGCAUUCUCCAGCCAAGAAUACCAGUCAGUGGGCUUCCAUUUCCUCCUCCAGGGGAUCUUCCCAACCCAAGGAUCGAACCCACGUCUCUUGUAUCUCUGGCAGAUUAGGGACUGGGGAGUUAUCUGCUUCCUGAGCACAGUUUCUGCUUGAGCUGAUAAAUGUUUGAAAGCAGCCUUGAUGGAUGCACAACAAUGUGAAUGUACUAAAGGCCGCUGAAUCACACUUACAAAUGGGCAGAAGGGCAAGUUUUUAUGUUGUAGAUAGUCUACCACGAUGAGAACACAGUUCCCUGUGGCUUCCCACCAUGGAGGGAUAAUAUAAACCAGCGACUGUUUCCUAGAGAAACUUCUUAGAGAAGAAACUUUAUCCCCUGAACCAAAGGCUGAGUUCUACAAACAGGUACUAUGGGAUGGUGGUUCUAGAGAGUUCUCCAUAACCCUUCAGGCCAGUUUCUUGGCUCCCCUCUCUCCCCAAACAGAGCCCGACUUAGAAGUGAUCCACAGACUGGAAUUCUCGUCCCAAGCUGUUAAGGCGCAACAGAGACACUCAGGUGGGGCCAAUAUUUCCCCUAGGCAGGCCCUUCCCCGAGGAUGCAGCGGAGAUGGGAAGGAUUUACCCAGGAGUCUGUGUGUCUUUGGGCCUGGGGGACGGGGCAGGCGCUGCAUCCUCUGCUUUCCUGGGACAAAGAGAAGAGGGGGUGUCCUGUGGGUCAGCUCUGCUGGGACUCCUGGUCCAGUCCAUCCUCCAACCCAGUUUCCGUCUGAAAGCUGACCACACCUCUUCCUAAUCCGAGCUUGUGGUGACUUCUCGGCCAUUUCUCCAGCGCAAGAUAGCCGGGCCACCGCCCAACAGAAGGGAUGGACUGGUUUCCUUCUUGUUCUUCUAUGAGACUAAACGGGUUGGGAUAUCAGAACAGCAAAUGAGCAUCUUGGGGGGGGGGUCCCCAGAAGCAGACACUCAGAAGAGGACUUGCCUGCGUGUGAUGACGUAUUAAGGACGUGCUCCCAGGAGAGGAAGUGUGCGGAGCAGACAGGGAUGGGAGGACUAAGCCAGCCAAGGGUGUGAUCACCAACAAAGCCUGAGUGUUCAUUACUGUGAAAUCACAAAACAGAAAACAAGUCUUCCCCUUCUCUCCUGUGGACAAAAAAAUUGUGUGGGGCUUCCCUGGAGGCUCAGUGGUAAAGAAGCUGCCUGCCAAUGCAGGAGACAGUGGUCUGAUCCCACAUGCCUCAGGGCAACGAAGCCCACGCACCACAACUACUGAGCCUGUGCUCACGAGCCGGGGAGCAGCAACUACUGAAGCCCACGUGCGCUAGAGCCUGUCUCCACGACGAGAGAAGCCCCACGGUGAGAAGCUCACACACGGAAACGAGGCAGCAGCCCCGCUCGCCGUAACUGGAGAAAAGCCCACACAGCAGCCAAGACCUAGCACCGCC